GUUGAUCCCGCCGGACCCGACUGCUAUCGGAUUGGGAUUUAGCCAUGUUAGUUGUGCGUUCCUUGGCUACAGGGGACGUAGCGUACGGCUCAGUAACACGUAGUCAACCUGCCCUGGAGACGCGGACAAACCCGGGAAACUGGGGCCUAUCCGCGAUAGAUGAGCUCAUCUGGAAGGAGAGUUCGUCGAAAAGGGCGCACGGGUAUGCUCUGUGCGAACCGCUCCAGGAUGGGACUGCGGCCGAUCAGGCUGUUGGCGGGGUAAUGGCCCACCAAACCUGUAACCGGUACGGGCUUUGAGAGAAGGAGCCCGGAGAUGGACACUGAGACAAGGGUCCAGGCCCUACGGGGCGCAUCAGGCGCGAAAACUUCGCAAUGCGCGAAAGCGUGAUGAGGCUAGUCCGAGUGCUCCCUGCUANAGGGGGCUUUUCUCGGCUGUAAAUAGGCCGGGGAAUAAGGGGAGGGGCAGUCUGGUGU
Molecule: ribosomal RNA, 476 nt
Filed under: uncultured archaeon
Lineage: Archaea
Description: bacterial SSU rRNA
Rfam family: Archaeal small subunit ribosomal RNA
Source: RNAcentral